This 400-nucleotide ribosomal RNA is filed under the name uncultured bacterium. Its description in RNAcentral is "bacterial SSU rRNA". It matches the Rfam family "Bacterial small subunit ribosomal RNA", at positions 355 to 772 of the family's 1533-position model. The record is from RNAcentral.
UGGGGAAUAUUGGACAAUGGGCGCAAGCCUGAUCCAGCAAUGCCGCGUGAGUGAUGAAGGCCUUAGGGUUGUAAAGCUCUUUUACCCGGGAUGAUAAUGACAGUACCGGGAGAAUAAGCUCCGGCUAACUCCGUGCCAGCAGCCGCGGUAAUACGGAGGGAGCUAGCGUUGUUCGGAAUUACUGGGCGUAAAGCGCACGUAGGCGGCUUUGUAAGUUAGAGGUGAAAGCCUGGAGCUCAACUCCAGAAUUGCCUUUAAGACUGCAUCGCUUGAAUCCAGGAGAGGUGAGUGGAAUUCCGAGUGUAGAGGUGAAAUUCGUAGAUAUUCGGAAGAACACCAGUGGCGAAGGCGGCUCACUGGACUGGUAUUGACGCUGAGGUGCGAAAGCGUGGGGAGCAAA